CACAGACUGUGAGGAAAGACUUAGCUAAAACAAGGACAUGAACUUUGUCCCAUGGAGUGACAGGCUGAUAUGACUAUGCCAGGCACCUGAAAAGGACAAGCAUUUAAGGGUCAGAGACAGAGCCACAGCUGCCGCGAAGCCCUCCUAUCCCAAUCCAGCCUGUGGGGGUUUCCAGCCUGUGGGGGUUUCCUCCCCCAUAGUACAGAAUGGAACUUCCUGUACCCUCACUCAAAAACAUAGGAAGAGCACAGCAUAAUGGUUAAGACUUCAGGCUGUUGCUUAGGCUUCUGGAUUCAAGUUCAUCACUUACUGGCCCUGGGAAGACUGUCGAUUCAAUUCAGCGCAUACUCAUCACUUACUAUAGACGAGGCAGUUUGAAGAAAUGCAAAGCUGAACUUCAAACCAGUGGAAGAGAAAAUAGCAGCAUCUGCUGGCUUCCUGCUGAACAUCUUCCCUUGGUGUACAUGCAUCUCCAAACCAAACCAUCCAGAGCAGAAGUCAUCUUUUGACCCCAGACACCCCCACCUAGCGUUCCUAUUCUACUCUGCCUCCUGUGGCCACCACCUUGACACUGAAAAAGUCCUCCAA
This is a long non-coding RNA of Leopardus geoffroyi (Geoffroy's cat), 588 nucleotides long. RefSeq lists it as uncharacterized. The transcript is spliced from 5 exons. The record is from RefSeq and is a predicted model, not a curated record. Lineage: Eukaryota; Metazoa; Chordata; Mammalia; Carnivora; Felidae.